CCUACGGGUGACAGCAGUGAGGAAUAUUGGUCAAUGGGCGAGAGCCUGAACCAGCCAAGUCGCGUGAAGGAUGACGGCCCUACGGGUUGUAAACUUCUUUUGUCAGGGAGCAAUUGGGUCCACGCGUGGGCUUAGCGAGAGUACCUGAAGAAAAAGCAUCGGCUAACUCCGUGCCAGCAGCCGCGGUAAUACGUAGGGAGCAAGCGUUGUUCGGAAUGCCUGGGCGUAAAGGGUGCGUAGGCGGUUGUACAAGUUAGAAGUGAAAUACCCAGGGCUUAACUCGGGUGCUGCUUCUAAAACUGUAUGACUUGAGUGCAGUAGAGGUUAGUGGAAUUCCUAGUGUAGCGGUGGAAUGCGUAGAUAUUAGGAGGAACACCAGAGGCGAAGGCGGCUAACUGGACUGCAACUGACGCUGAGGCACGAAAGUGUGGGGAGCAAACAGGAUUAGAUACCCCGGUAGUC
RNAcentral lists this ribosomal RNA (462 nucleotides) under uncultured bacterium. RNAcentral's name for it is "partial 16S ribosomal RNA". It matches the Rfam family "Bacterial small subunit ribosomal RNA", at positions 338 to 795 of the family's 1533-position model. The record is from RNAcentral.